GAUGAACGCUAGCGGCAGGCCUAACACAUGCAAGUCGAGGGGUAACAUAGAAAAGCUUGCUUUUCUGAUGACGACCGGCGCACGGGUGCGUAACGCGUAUACAACCUACCUUUUAGCGGGGAAUAGCCCAGGGAAACUUGGAUUAAUGCCCCAUAGUAUAUAGACUUCUCCUGAAGUUUAUAUUAAACAUUUAUGGCUAUUAGAUGGGUAUGCGUCCUAUUAGUUAGUUGGUAAGGUAACGGCUUACCAAGGCAGCGAUAGGUAGGGGUCCUGAGAGGGAGAUCCCCACACUGGUACUGAGACACGGACCAGACUCCUACGGGAGGCAGCAGUGAGGAAUAUUGGACAAUGGGCGAGAGCCUGAUCCGGCCAUGCCGCGUGCAGGAAGACUGCCCUAUGGGUUGUAAACUGCUUUUACAGAGGAAGAACCACCCCCACGUGUGGGGGUUUGACGGUACUCUGCGAAUAAGGAUCGGCUAACUCCGUG
Molecule: ribosomal RNA, 487 nt
Filed under: uncultured bacterium
Lineage: Bacteria
Description: bacterial SSU rRNA
Rfam family: Bacterial small subunit ribosomal RNA
Source: RNAcentral